Long non-coding RNA from Juglans regia (Persian walnut), 380 nucleotides. RefSeq lists it as uncharacterized. Lineage: Eukaryota; Viridiplantae; Streptophyta; Magnoliopsida; Fagales; Juglandaceae. The transcript is spliced from 4 exons. The record is from RefSeq and is a predicted model, not a curated record.
CAUUCUCUCUCCGGUGAGUUUCCCUCGUGAAACCUAACACCUAUCUCUUUUCUCUCACUCUCCCUUCUUCCUUUCUUCCCCAAUUCGAUACUCUCUCUCUCCAUUUUCCCAAAUUUUCUGUUGCCCCUUACCACUGUUGUGCGCCUGCCGUGUCGUCGCCACUGAGGGAAGCCGAUUGGAGUAGGAGUAGCUACCAUGGCCUUUGGUUUGGUUUUUGCACUCGGAGACUCUCUCCUUCAGGGAGUCAGAAAAUGGAAAAAGGAUUCAAUUCAUCCUUGUCAUUAAUCUCCAGUUGUUUUAAACAGUAGACAUGCUGAUACGUACGUGGGGUUUUCAUCAUUCCUACUUAAUCAUAUAUAAUCGACGAUUUCCUUGUGUCC